This 1562-nucleotide long non-coding RNA is filed under the name Aquilegia coerulea. RNAcentral's name for it is "long non-coding RNA (ACOE_LNC002353)". Lineage: Eukaryota; Viridiplantae; Streptophyta; Magnoliopsida; Ranunculales; Ranunculaceae. The record is from RNAcentral.
CUUAACACUAAGCCCAUAGGUUUCAGAAAAACAAGGAUGGCAAUACAUGCAACACUCGUUAUAAAAUUGAACUCUUUUCAAAUUGAUCGAUCGAACUUGUUUUUAUGUAUGAGCUCAACAUUUUUGGAGGUAAAGAACUAUAGUUGAGAUGCUAUACCUGUAGCGUUGUUUGUGUCCUUACAGGCUAUUGAUGGUGGUAUUUGUCACCUGCUGUAGUGGAACUAAUUUUCUUAAUUUUUAUUAUUCUUAACAGUAUGAUGUGAGCUGUGAGUGUUCUUCGCAACAUAAUCAACCAUUGACAUCUUCAUUCUACGUAAAUGACUUCACCCCGACUCAUGCCUUUUACACCAGACUAGACCUUUGUAAUCUGUAAAUGAAGACUUAUUACAAGGGUGUAUAUAUGGUUGAAGGAAUGAAGUAGCCGACUCAUUUAUGGUUGUAUGUAGAUUAUUGACUGUAUAAAGGUCAAGAAGCACUGAAGCAGGCUGGUAGGCAUUAAGCGUAGCUGUGAUAUGCAUAUAUCAUCACCUCUUGGCGUUCAUCAAGUCAGCCUUGAUCAUUUCUCGCCUUCAUUAGAUCGUCCAAGGCAGCUCGAUUCUCCUUUAGUUCUGACAGGUUACCAUGGAAAUUCUCCUUCAUUUCCUCAUCCAAUUUUCUCCGAUUACCAAAAUCAUGGUCAUCAGUCCUAUGGAUAAGAAGUGCUCGCGCGAUCUCUUCCUGGCAUUUUCCUGCAUUUUCAAAACAGAAUGCGGUGAAUACAUCAUUCAACUGAAAAAAUAAAGAACAACAUUUUUAGUAAAAUUAAAUAAUGAAUGCGAAUGAGCCUGUGUCUCAGUGCUCAAUGGUGGCACUCCUCUCACAAAGUGGAGAGGUUGUUUGGUUUGGAAUACGUCAACGGCUGAGUGUUGAUAUAAGUUUUCACACAUAAUUAAAAGGGGGUAGGGUCCCCUUAACUCUGCUCACUAAUCAAUAAAUAAAAAAAAAAAGGCUUGCAGCGCAGUUUGUAGCUGGGCUAAUGAAUGAAAUUUGAUCGGAUCCAUAUUCAUAUCAAAAUUAUAAUUUUCUUGUUGGACUUAGAUCUGAACCAUUCUAAUUGGACUCGAAUACGAACUAUUAUCUUGCCUGACAAACAAAAAUGACAGACUUAGCUGACAAACAGAUAAACAAAUGAAAGUGAUGUGAGAGAGGAUGAAGGAAUUGUGGGGGGAGUUUGUCAUUAUGAUUUAUUUAGAUCUACCGAUAAAUUUGUAUCAAAAUCAUAUUUCUAUUUAUACAAAAUUUCUUAACUAUUAAAAAAGAUUUAAAUUAAAAUUGGAAUUAAAAUUUAUUGAACAAAAGGCUUACCAAUUACAGAACUGGGAUUAGACCUGUGACCUCAAACCCAGAACCAAAUUUAAUUUCCAAUCUCACACCAGCCUCCAUUGAUUCAAAUUGAAAAUAACGACCAACGAAGAACAAUUCUUAAUGCUUUGAAAUAUUGAGAAAAUGGUGAACAACCUAUGGUUCUAUAUAGAGAUAGGUAGUUACCACACCAACUAUUUACUCGUGGCUAUGUCUCUUUG